UUCAAUAUAUCAAUAAUAUGUUCUUAUUUAAUUUCAUGAGGCUUAUUUUAAUACCUCGAGAACAUCUCACACUUCAUUGAAUUUCGUACAAUAUCUCGUGGGGAAAAGGGUUCAAGUAAAUAGCCGUCGUAAACAGUUUUCUCGGUCACGAACUAUAGGUAGGCGUUAAAGAAUAACAUAACUUCAAAUAGUAUAGUAUACAGAACUGGAUACUACUAUAUUGAACUGGAGACUUUAUAGCUGGCUGGUAGGCUAAAACGAAAUUAAGUGGUCAGUUGGUUGGCGGCAUAGAAGCUCCGCUUUCCUGUAAUUGUGACAGUUGUCUUAUAAAGAUACUUUUGUCGUAGUCAGUGUCGAACACGCUUUUAUUGUCAUAGGUUUUUGGGAGUUUUAAAAGCUUCUGGCCCAGAAAAUCACUAACGCAUCCGCAAGUCAACAAAACGUUUAGAGCGAAGACAUCAAGCGAACGUCAUUUCUAGGCAUCACAUCGUUCUAACUAACAUUCCUAGAAACGUGCAGACAAACCAGAAACCAACCGAAACUGAGAACUGAAUUUUUUACUAUGGAAUCUCACUCGAAGACAACGAAACCUGAAUCAAUCGAUUCUCUGGUAUUUUUAACCCUAAUAAGUGUUGGGUUUCUGCUCUUUGGGUUGGUGAUUGUCGCGUGUGGCUUCACUUUGAAUUAUCACGACGAUUUCAAGGCUUCAGAUGACGGAGAAACGUUGAAGCUGUUUGUAGAGUCACAGUUUGAUUAUACCCAGUACUGGCUUGGCUUACCUUUUCUGAUCACAGGCGCCCUUUCGAUGGCCUCAAGCAUGUGCCAGAAAAAUAGAUCAUUGGUAACAGUGACAUUUUUAUGUCUGUCCACCUGUUUGAUCCUGUCGCUGUUUGCGAUGAUACUCGAAGGGAUCGACUGGAAUACAUGGAAUAAUCGAGACCGGUUUCGUAAAGCGUUGGAAGAAGAUGAUUACUCGUGCUCAACUCAAAGUCAAAGUCAAUUUCAUCCGAGUCACUCUUGUGUUUGUCAACACCCAGAACAGGGCUCUUGGACCGUUCUCAGUUUUGCAACCUGUUCCACCAUUACAAGACUUUCUGGCCUUUUCGGCACUAUCGCCGCCUCAGCAGUUUUUGGAAUGUUCUUAUCUCUUGCGGGGAUUGUUAUUAUUUUGAAAUCAUUACAAGGAAACCUCGUCAUUUCCUCUCUUGAAAUGAUUUGGACUGGAUGAAGGGUACAAAAAUGGAGUCGCAUCAGACAUUGCUGGAGCAUGCAAAUCAAUGGGUUGGAAUAUCUUAAAACUGUGUAAAAAAAACUUGAGGAAAGGAAUUGAAAUUGAAGAAUCGUGAAGAAAAGGAAUAAGACCUUGAACGAACCAGAUUGGACACCCCAUGACAAUAGUAAUCGCAUCAAUCGAAUUUUUGUAACGUGUCUUGUCUUGUAACGCAAAAAAUAUAGAAAUAACCAACAAGAUCAAAAGGCAAAUAGCAGGUCCAAAGGUGUGUAAACAUGCAGUAAGGUGUGUUUUUGUACACGCCAAAAGGGCUGCAAAAUACACUAAAAGGUGUGUCAGAAAACACAUAAAAAGAUGUGUUUUACGCUUGUCCAACGGUGUAUUUUAAAAGUUUUUAAUUGUGCGGAUAUGAAAACUACUUUUCAUAUACGCUUUAUAUUCGUUGUGACAGAGAUUCGACUAUUAAGUGUCACAGUCAAAUAUAUAAUUACUGUCAGACUUUCAUUUUGCUCUUUACCUGACCGUAUUGUUUAUAGUUAUCAUAAGGACCCUGGUUACGAAUUGGUCACAAUAUUGUUAAGAAUUGUUGGUGAUGAUCAGUAACAGCCUGCUCUACACUACAGCCUGCAACCUGCUCGCAGGCUUUAAUUCCGUUGAACCCACUCUCCGCAAAGGACGUUUCAUUUCAUUAAAAUAUUCAUAUAUGGUCAGACUGAGUCGUAAUGUAUAAUGGCGGCGGCACGAAUUUCAAAUAGGUCGUCCCCCCGGUUUUAAUUGGAUGACCCCACAUCUGCACGACAUGGAAAGUUAUGGAAAUUCUGUAGCAAAGUUUUAUAGAUAAUUCGAAC
Molecule: RNA transcript, 2079 nt
Organism: Dendronephthya gigantea
Lineage: Eukaryota; Metazoa; Cnidaria; Anthozoa; Malacalcyonacea; Nephtheidae
Exons: 7
Source: RefSeq, a predicted model, not a curated record